UCACUUUAAGGAAUAAGCUGGUAAAAAGACAAUAAGGUGCCCGAACUGGGGUAAGAACAAAGGCCCUGGCAAAAGCGGUAUUUGCUCAUGAGGCCUGUUCCUCUCUUCCAAGGAGUCACAGCCAGCCCCGAGUCGCUUACUUUUUCUCCCUUGACCUUCACGUUGCCAAGGGAUCAUCUCAACAGAGCCCUGCUCUUUAAGUGGCAACAUAAGCAAAACUGGAUUUAGGCUUUCGUUCUAUUCUGUUUUAUGAAAACCAGAUUUUUCCAAAUCCAGUCCUUCACAACUCUCUGAAUUAAGCAGACGACAGUUCCUCUUGCACUGUGCACUCCCGAAUCCUAGUACAGAACGCAACUGAGAUCCUUCAAGGGUGAGUGUCAGCGUAAGACGGUCCCGUCCCUCUGCUGCAGCCUCAGGGCCAUCGUGGCCGCCGGUGAAAGGGAGACCUGCUUCCCACACCGUCCAACAUCCCCUCUCAUAUCUCGGCAAGGUCUCCAGGCCGAACGAUGUCAACGUGUGAGCAUUUUAAGUAAGGCACGCCUACAUCUCGAUGGCCAGAAACGAGUACUCACAGGGACCCUUUCAAAGCUCUCAUCCGCACUACCGCUCCCAACGCCACAUCUCAAACUAACUUCAUACCCUUGUGUAUAAAAUAAAACCCUGGAAGCCCCUCCUAAACUGGUGACCUUGUGGAUUUUGUUUUAUUGUAGUUUGUGGAAAAUGGCUCGGUGUGUGUUCAUCCUUCUGGUAAAUAGGAGGUUGGCUGGCAAGAAGCAGAAACACCUCUCCUCACACGCCACUAGGUCCCAGGCAGGCUAGAGGAACUGCCGCUUCACCUGGAGCUCUGUACUCCCCACAUCUGUUGAAUCUUUGGCUUUGUCACCGCAGCGCAAAGCAGGCAGUCCUGGAACUCCUCCCACUUGCUGGUGACCAGGGCCUGGGCUUGAGGCAGAGGUGCAUGGGGGGAGGGUAACACUCAAAGCACUGGCGCACCUGCUGCAUGGAUGCCCGGCUGUCCUCAGAACAGUGGGCACUGCACCGGAACAUGAAGCCCUGCAUCUUCUGGAGGUUCUCUCUCUCCAGAUUCUUCACCAUGGAGUCCACUGCCCCCUGCACCCAGAGCUACUGCAGCUCCGCCGUGGCGACCCCCAGCUGCUCCCUGCAGUGCGGGUGGUGCCCACAUAGACUCGCGAGUACCGUGUAGCUUUACUUCGUGACCCAGUUACAGCAGAGCCCUUUGUGUGACACCCUCUUCCAGGAGGGGAAGGAGCGACAGGGCAGCUUGCUCAGCACUGUAAACACCUGGCAACCACCACGGAUGCAAAGGACUCUGCACAAGUCCGAUAUGGUAGCCACUGGUCAUGUGACUAUUCAAAUGACUUAAAUGAAAUACACGUUAAAAUCCAGUUCCCUAGCCCUGUUUCAAGUGUGCCCACCAACGUGGACGGCACAACUACGGCACAUUUCCGUCACCCCCAGAAGUUCAACUGGAGGGUGCAACCUGAGCUCAGCCCUCUAAACUCCUCCUUCCAUGAAUCCAUUCACCUCGGUCCCUGCAUCUUUGUCACUUGUUCCUAAAGAGCCCCUGAAUGGCGUCCCCCCUCAAAUUCACAUCCAACCCAACCAGAACCUUAUUUGGGAAGAAGACCUUUACGGACGUAACCGGUUCAGAUGAAGUCAUCCUGGAUUAGAGCAGGUCCCAAAUCCAGUAAGACUCCUUUAAGAGAAAAGACACAGAGACCCGCACAGGGACAGGGCCAGGUAAGGACAGAGGCAGCAACUGGAGUGACGUAUCUACAAGACGAGGAAGGCCAAGCGCUGCCAGCCGUCACCAGAAGCCAGGAGGAGCUUAGACCAGAAGCUGACACCUUGACCUUAGACUUCUGGCCUCCAGAACUGUGAGAGGGCAUACCUCUGUGCUUUGAGCCACCUAGUCUGCAGUUAGUUGUCCCAGCAGCCACCGGAGACUAACACAGCGCCCUAUGUAGAGACCUCCACAUUCUCAUCUAACCCUCUCCCUCUUUCCCAGACAUCUCAGACCAUCCGAUCCUCAGGUAUCAACCUCCAGACACGACAUCCGCGGAGCCAGUCAGAUCCUCAGCCACUCCAGCCUGCCAGUCCUGCAUAGGUGGGAACACCUGGCCCUGAAGGGGUGCAAGCUGGCAGGGCUGCCCAGGAAGGAGCUGGGGGACCCCUGCAGAGUCUGCAAAUCCCCCGCUUUCUCUCUUUUCAACACUAAAACAAUAUCAGAAAGCAACAAGCCCCAGGCGAUCCAGUCAGUGGUCAAACAGUGGAGCCUGAUAGCUUACUUUAUUAACUUGCUAAAUCAAAGGGCCGUUAGAGUCUCUGUCCGGUAAUAAAACUCAGGAAGGAGAUGAAUCACCCACCUAUUAGCACGGUGUUGGCACAGCUAAUGGAUGUGGCCUGGCCGGACCCAGGCCGGACCAGAACAAAGCCGGCCUGCAUUCCCACCUACGAACCCUGCCACCUCCUCCACCUGCCCGCCUGCGGCCACCUGCCUGUGGAUGAGGGCUGCGGCAGCAUCUGUUCACCAUGGCUUGCUUUUUCAACACACCCAGAAUUAUCCCACCCAACCCACUCCUCCAGGAUCCCGCCACGACCCCAAACAAACACAAAGAAACCAAACAUCCAGAAAUCCAGGGUUUAUUGAAUCCAUCCUUCAAGGAAGCAGCCAGCACGGGGUUGUUACAACGCACUGCAGACAGGUGCAAAGCCCCCAGAGCCUAAGGCUGGGCGGCAUCACCCUCUGACUACACAGAGCCAGGAAAUAGCCUAUUUUCUGCCCUUCGCCCCACUUUCUUGGGGCUGUUCCUCAGAGCACUUUUUCCUGCAGCUUUAAAAGGGGGAGAAAGGCACUGCUGUGAAAAUUCAGCCUCAACCGCCGUUUUCCUGCAUGCAGCUUACUCGGAACAGCUGGUCUAAUGCGCUGAACCUCAGUUCUGGGAACCUCCUUCUGGGAAUGUCUAGGAAGGUAAGUAUCUAAAGUGCUUAAGGGUUUGCUCUACCACAAAUGCUCGCUCCAUUAAUGCUGCUUGUUAAUGAUUUUGAUGAAUAAUGGGCCUGGAAUACAGUAAGUCCUCGGCAAAAAUAAUAAUACUGUUAUUAUUUCUGAAGUAACAUCUAGCAACACCAGGCUCCAAGUGCCAUAAAAACUCAUUAUAAAUAGCUCAUUAUAAGACUCACCUCGACAACCAUCCAAAUUACAUCCCUCAGCCCUUUCCAAGGAAAUCCAGAAAAGACUGGGCCUGAAUCCCCCACUCAGGUUAAAAGCAGGACCCACAAAGCUCCCCGGAGUCGCACAAAGCCAGGUUUGGCGGAUGGCUCCCCGCUGACCCAUGACUGGCCUCCCGUAAAGGCUUCUUGAUUUAUUACUGCAGCAGGACUGAACUCUUCAGCCAGGAGCUUGGCUCCAUUACGCUCCAUUACUCUGGGCCUCGUUUGCAGGCAGCCCCUGGGGCUUGAUUCAUCCACUUCCGUCAGGAGGUCUUGGUGGAAAGAGCUCCCCGUGCCUCUGCGAUACCGUAAUCCUCCAUUCCCAAAGCUCAGGCCCACCGAGAACCCUCAAGAAGGAACCCAGCACGAGUUCAUUCUCCUUCCCGGGAGAAGAGAGAGCAGAAGGAGGGAGAAAAAGCGGCGUGUGCAUUCUUGACCUCUCCCGAGAGGGCGACGCUCCUUUGCCUUUGCUUCCGAGGGCUGCUCACGGGACGAGAUCUGAGCCCCCGCCCUCUUGCCAGAGUGCGAGGAAGACACUGAAGCCCGCAGGCUCCUCUUCGCUUGCGAUCUGCCCUUGGUGUGUUGACCCGGGGUGGCCUCUGCUCCGAUCUGCGUCGCUUUCCAGAGGGAGGCUUCGGUGUGAGAAAGUUAAGAGGCUUUUCUUAUACACUAGAAAGCAACUCACCCUGGCAAUUGUUGCUAUGAGGACAGAAAGGGAGGCGCAGGCAUUUAGCUGCCAGGUCCAUCCUCCAACCUCCCUUGCAAAGCACCUCUGCUUCCUCCCGGAGCAAAGAGCUGAUGAAACACUCAGAGUGGGCACACGCGGUACCCAGCAAAUCCCAAAUUUCAUGGCAUAUGUGCCUUUCCAGAUGACUGCAUGGAUACGCUCCAUAACACACUGUUAAAGUGAUAAUUAGUGAUAGACUUGUUAUGAAUAUUCCAAAUAAAAUUCCUCUCUCAACAGUCGACGGAGACAAAGGGCAUCACAGGAACGGUCAGAAGUAAGGGGGGAAUUUUUGUCUCUGCUCUUAAAAGCCAUGGGGAAGAGACGACAAAUCAGAAGUUCAACAAACCAAACAUCUCAGACCCCAUCGUUCAUGGAAGGCACGUGAAUGGGUCCAUGUCUCCCCAAGGCUGAGCGAGCGCCGUGCUCCCACUUAAAAUAAAAAGCUCCAGGAAAGGAAGAGAACCCCAGUUUUGGAAGCCACUCCUCUGUUGCCCUGCUGCCCUAAACGCAGCCAAGGAUGCUAAACAAGAUGUGUCAUUUAAGGCAACCAACCAACCAACCAAACAGAGGAAGCGCUGAGGCAUAAGCAAGAGAGUAACGAAAAGCAAAGGCGAUUCAGCCUCGUAAAGUGAAAGAGGAAAGGCUUCGAUUCGGGUUGAACCUUCUUCCCCCCAAAGGAAACGGCUGCCGGCUCUAGCUCUGCCCCCACAGCCUCUCACACACGGUCCCACUGUGAAAUUCAUAGUGAUUUUGCCACACGGGACAAUGGGAUGCCCAUGACACACUCCGUCCCCUCCCCACGUCCUCAUCGCCAGAGCGGAGGGAAGACGCCAGGCAUCCCAGAUGAUGAGAGUGAGACGGGCAGGGACUCUCUGGGGCCAAAGAGAAAAAAAGAGGAGCCCCAGACCCCACCAGGGUCACGCUCCCUGCAGACUGAAGGACCCGCGCAGCACAGCGCAGGGGGGAAGCCGACGCCUCGAGGGCGCAGAGGAACCGAGGAGACGAACGCCAUCAGCGGUGUGGCCUCUGUUAUCACCGGGGAUUCUGGACGGACUCGGAUGGAAUGUUCCAUUUUAAGGGUGAAGCCGAGCUCUUCGAGUCUAGGCGUGAAAACCGGCGGCGGCACAUAUUAGCCUGUGCCCAGAGUCCUCUGCUGGCAGAAGUCCCAGGGCCUCCCCUGCCGUCUCACUAGACAUCACUCCACGCCACUUCCCAUCUUACUGGCUUCAGAGUCCGAGAACAGCCCCAAAGCCACCAAAGGACACCCUUUGCAAUUUCUAAACGAGGACACGGAAGACCAGAGAGGUAGAGCCCUGUGCCCAAAAGGCUUGAAAUAUGCGGCAGGAUCUGUUUGGAACCCAAGGACCCCCAAGUCUCGAUCUUGCUUUUUCUAUUGCAGUGAUGCCGCUCCCCUUCUUUCCUUAAAUCAACUUCCAGGCCACAGAAUUAUCUCGGAAGGAGCAAAAUUAACCAUUAGGCGAGAGUUCCCUUGUGGUGCAGCAGGUUAAGGGUCCAGCACUGUCACUGCAGCGGCUUGGGUCGCUGCUGUGGUACAGAUUCGAUCCCUGGCCCAGGGAACGUCUGCAUGCUGCAGGCACCACCAAAAGGGGGCGGGGGUAAAAAAAAUCAUUAGGGGUAAAAUUUAGAGAAAGGAAAAAGUAACAUCUAGUAUAGAACGAUCUCGGCACCAUAGACAGAACCCAGCGCCUAAGCCUGGGUUCUUCGGGAUCCCAGGGGGCCAGCAUCAGUGCAGAGGGCACCAGGGGCAGCCUGGGGGUGGCUGCCGCUGGCCCUCCAGGACUCACACUUGUGCCUCAGGGCCUUUGCACCACCGACAGGGGCUCCUUCCCUGGACAUCCACGGGCUUGCUCUCUUGCCUCCUUCCAGUCUAUACUCACGCGUCCCUUCCAAACCCGCCCUGACGGCUCGCUGUAAAAUUGUUUCCUGAGUCUCCCAUCUUCUGAACCCGACUUAAUUCUUUCCGCAGCACUCAUCACAUUCUAACCGACUGUGUGAUUAUGUAGUUUUUAUGCUUGGUAUCUGCCACCUUCCAUUUUUAAUGAAUAUGCAUGAGGACAGGGAAUUUUGUCCUCUGGCUCACUCCUGAUUCUCCUGGGUCUCAACAGUAUCUGGCAUGUAAUAGAUGCUCAAUAAAAACUGGUUGAACCAAUGUAUAAAUAAGGAAUAACUGCUCUUCCUCUUUGCUUCUUGUCCCCUCCCUUUCUCCUUCAGCAACAACACCUAGACACACACACACACACACACACUCGCACACUCCAUUCCGCUGCUUUCUCUCUUCUCCGUCUGUACUGCAGGCCUGAACUAAUAUCUACAGGACAGUUCCGACCAAACCUAGCAUAUUUAGUGAUGGCAUUACCAAGACUUCUACGGGAAAUUCAUAUUUUAUAUGUGCAUAUGGUUUAUAUGCAUGAUAAAGCUCUAGAAGGACACGCAAGAACCUGAUUCUCCUGGGUCCCUCCCGGGGACUCGAUGGCUGGGAUACAGACUUUUCAUUCUCUGUGCCUUUUUACUCUUGGAAUUUUGAACUAUGUGAAUGUAAUUAACUAUUAAACAUGUUAAAUUAAAAAUUAAAAUGGGAAAGAACUUAAAAAAAAACCUCAUAUAGGCCUCCCCUUAACCCCAUCUUCACAGAAAUUCUUUCUGGAUGAAACCCACCCAAAGGCCACCAGCCCUGGGUUAGGACGGUGAGACGGGGUGAGAGGGGUCCCCUCCUCUCGUUCCUGUAGUUUCUCAAGUGAGGCUGCUACUUCCAUAACGAAAUAUUUGAAAAGGUUUCCAUCAACAGAAGGCUAUGAAUUAAUGCAAAUUUCCCGACAUACAUAACACAUGGAGACGCUGUUUCAAUUCAUGAAUCCCUUCACCUUUAAUUCUGCUUCUGCUCAUUUGGAUUCACACGGAGCAGACUUCGGAAUCAGCCGUCUAGGACGGUGCCAGCAUCUCCGGAGGUGCGGGUGCAGGACGCAGCGCCUUCGAGGAGGCUGCACCCCGUGAGGGAUCACAAGCCCUCGAAGCCUCAAAGGACACACUUGAAAAUGACAACUGCCGUGAACCGGCCCACGAGUGGACGGCGUGGGAUUUUCCUGUUUUUCCUUUGGGGAUUUCCGAUUGUUGCACUUUUUUUGCCUCGAGAUAUAGAACUGAAGGGACAUCCUUCCCCGGUACCGUGCUGUGGAGUAACUGUGUGUGACUCGUCGUUGACCUGCUCUAGGCUGUGAUCUUCCCGAGGAUGGAGGCCGGGUUUAAUCCUCCUCUGCCCUCGUAGCCUCCAGCGUGGCACCUGGCAACAGUGGCUGCUCCCCAAGUAGGUCCUGCGUGAAUGAAUGAACGGUGGCCAUCUCUCAGCCUUCAGGGAGGAGUCCGGAGAUACACCCCGCACCGAACCCAGAGAGACAACGCCGAUCCCUCACUCGCCACCUGCUUACUUUAGCCUUCAUCGGUGGGUGUGCUAUGGUCUGCGGAAGGCAAAGGAAGCCAGAGCUCCCAAGUGGGGAUGUGCGGUGGCAUCUAAGAAAGGGCACCUGCCACCUUCCAGCAGCCGCUUGGUGCACGAUGGGUACCGGGCAGUUAAUGCUGGUGAGACAGGGUGAGAGAGGUCCUCUCCUCUUGUUCCCAUGUUUUCCUAAGUGAGAUGGUUACUUUUAUAAGGAAAUAUUUGAAAAAGUUCCCAUCAACAGAAGUUAACGCUGGCUCCACAGGUGGAGUUCUUUCCAAAGUUCCUUCCUUUGACCUCCUCUGGGCACGUACAGCAAGGAAACAACUGAGUAGGUUAAACCAGAAGCAUCGCGUCCCCUGACGCUGCUUACGGUAGGGAAAAGCUGGAAACAACCUAAGCAUGGCACCCUAUGAGAUUAAGGAACUAAACAGCGGUAUCAGCUCUGUAGCGGGGGAUUCUUACAUUGCAGUCGCUGCAGACGCAUAGAACUCACAGCCCCCCCAAAACGGGGUGCAUGUGCAUUCCAGGAGCUGGAUCUGCUUAGCUUCAGUUCCAACACCAAAUGACUUAGCAGCCUCAGCUUUUGUAAAUGACCUUACGUUUUUGCCUCAGUUUUUUCUUCUAUAAUUAGAGGCAUCACUUAAUCAUUAAAAAAAAAAGUUCGCUG
This 8082-nucleotide long non-coding RNA is filed under the name Sus scrofa (pig). Its description in RNAcentral is "lncRNA (ENSSSCG00015014172.1)". Lineage: Eukaryota; Metazoa; Chordata; Mammalia; Artiodactyla; Suidae. The record is from RNAcentral.